GGGGAUAUAGCUCAGGUGGUAGAGUGCUUGCCUGUCAUGUACAAGGCCCUGGGUUCAAUCCCAAGCAUCACCA
RNAcentral lists this transfer RNA (73 nucleotides) under Ictidomys tridecemlineatus (thirteen-lined ground squirrel). RNAcentral describes it as "Spermophilus tridecemlineatus (thirteen-lined ground squirrel) tRNA". It matches the Rfam family "tRNA". From Rfam's summary of the family: Transfer RNA (tRNA) molecules are approximately 80 nucleotides in length. The record is from Rfam by way of RNAcentral. Lineage: Eukaryota; Metazoa; Chordata; Mammalia; Rodentia; Sciuridae.